CGGUAUGCUCCAGAGUUGGGUUCUAGCAUGAUGGCCCAAAUGAGAAAGUUUGAUUUGGUAUUUUCUCAUAAAUUGAUCCUUGAUAAUAAGGAUGCCUUGUUAAUUAAGUACGUAGAUAUCUCUAGGAUUGAGGUAUAAAUGUAAUAGGUACAGGAAGAGAAGAAGAAAAAGGUUGAGUUAAGAGAUAGGCAGGGGUAAUAAUUUAGAUUUUCA
RNAcentral lists this long non-coding RNA (213 nucleotides) under Capsicum annuum. Its description in RNAcentral is "long non-coding RNA (CANN_LNC017333)". The record is from RNAcentral. Lineage: Eukaryota; Viridiplantae; Streptophyta; Magnoliopsida; Solanales; Solanaceae.